CGGGUGCGGUGCAUGUGCCUGUAAUCCAAGUCAUGGGAGGCUGAGGUUGGUGGAUCAAGUGAGCUGAGGAGCUCUGGGCUGCAGCACGCUAUGUCGAACGGGUGUCCACGCUAAGUUCGGUAUCGAUAUGGUGUUCCUGGGGGAGCCCGGGACCACCAGGUUGUCUAAGGAGGGGUGAACCGGCCCAGGUCGGAAACGAAGCAGGUCAAAUCCCCCGUGCUGUCCAGUAGUGGGAUAAUACCUGUGAGUAGAUGCUGCAGUGCAGCCUUGGCAAAACAUUGAGACCUAGUCUUUU
Molecule: signal recognition particle RNA, 295 nt
Filed under: Oncorhynchus mykiss (rainbow trout)
Lineage: Eukaryota; Metazoa; Chordata; Actinopteri; Salmoniformes; Salmonidae
Description: Metazoan signal recognition particle RNA (ENSOMYG00000062895.1)
Rfam family: Metazoan signal recognition particle RNA
About the family: The signal recognition particle (SRP) is a universally conserved ribonucleoprotein. It is involved in the co-translational targeting of proteins to membranes.
Source: RNAcentral